The sequence is a regulatory RNA element, 169 nucleotides long. It matches the Rfam family "Lysine riboswitch aptamer". Rfam says of the family: Riboswitches are metabolite binding domains within certain messenger RNAs that serve as precision sensors for their corresponding targets. The record is from Rfam.
AACCAAGGUAGAGGCGCUAUUGUUCAAUAGUAUCUAGAGGAGUUGGCAGACGUUGAAUUUAGAGAAAGGGGAUAUAGCCGAAGAUAGAAUGUAUGGCAAUAAUUCUUUCUGGGCCUGUAUAUAACAUAUGCAGGACUGUCGCUUUAAUAAGUGUUGAGCUACAAGGUUA